AUGUUUGGCUUGCAGUGUGUUCCAUCGUGCAUCCUAACCUUUAGAGUGUUGGAUCUUCCACGUCAACUAAUGAGGUGUGAUCCAAUGCUCCAUAUUUUUUCUGAUUUUAAUUCUUUUUCUUUUAUAAUUUUUAAAUUCUUAGUAAUUUCAUUUUUUUAUCCAAAAAAUCCCAAAAUAAUUUCUAAAAUUCUCUUUUAUUUUUCUUCAUCUGAUUUUUA
Molecule: long non-coding RNA, 218 nt
Filed under: Lathyrus oleraceus (garden pea)
Lineage: Eukaryota; Viridiplantae; Streptophyta; Magnoliopsida; Fabales; Fabaceae
Description: Pisum sativum (pea) long non-coding RNA (PSAT_LNC012747)
Source: RNAcentral